Phragmites australis (common reed) is the source of this 2908-nucleotide RNA transcript. RefSeq lists it as uncharacterized. The record is from RefSeq and is a predicted model, not a curated record. The transcript is spliced from 4 exons. Lineage: Eukaryota; Viridiplantae; Streptophyta; Magnoliopsida; Poales; Poaceae.
CCUUUUUUUUUUUGCCGUUCGAUCGAUGGAUCGGCCGGCUCUCGUUGCCUCUCGGGCGGGAUUAGGUGGCCGCUUCCGGUUUUGCCCGCGCGAGCAAGUGUGGGACGCGUGCCGUGGUUCGGUUGGCGGUUCGUCGUGCAGAGCGCGGCGGUCCUUAUCCUUUCGUCCUCAUGCCACUCGCCCUCAUGGACCACGCGCAACUGAGCUCUGGUGUCCGGCGAUUUCUUCUCAAUCAAGCGUCUCUCUGUGCUCCGCCCCCGCCACCGUUUCCCCUCCCCCAGAUCCAGCCAGCACGCUUCGUCUCCUUCUCUUUCUCCCCGCCGCCUUAUCCUCCCACAUCGUCCCCGUCGCUUCCUCCUGUGCAGUAGCUUCAUCAGCGGCGUCUACUCCCCUUGCAUCGGUAUUAGGGAGCAACUGUGGUUCCGGUGGCCUGCAAGAGUACGCCGCGGCUGCGCGAGGCGUACAGGAAUUCAGCAGGACCUCCACACCACCCUCGUCAUCUCGGAUGGUUUGCUUCAAUAUAUGAGGAACACAUUGCUUAUCGUACCUGGAAGUUUUUCGAUUCAUUGGUUGUAUCAUUAAUAUCUAGAUGAUAAUAUGGUGCUGAAUAUUUCUGCGAUUUUGCUUCCCUCUGCCGAACCUAUAAACAUAAGUUUCUUCUGAUAUCUCUUCUGCUUAUGUUUUCCCAUAUGCAACACAGCUUGUAUAGCUACUUGAGAUAUCUAGGUCCAAGCAAUGUCACAAUGAGCUAUCAACAACCAAGUCGUCCGAAUCCAUCGACAAUGGCUAAGACGCUGUCCAGUACAAAAUUGAUCAGAUGUCCAAGCGGUCUAUCAAUAUUAUGUAGUUUGGUAUCCCCACCAAGGUAUUCAGUUAGCGGUCCUCUCCUCAGUGGAAUGCCCUCAGGUUGCAGGAUGAUCCAAAGUAGAAUAUCUCGAACACUUUAUCACAGCUUUCCAUUGUAUUACAUGUGAUAGGCUUUUUCAGCUUCAGGUUGCAUUUCUCUCGGGACAUAGUUAUUUUAAAACAUGAGAAGCGAUAAACGUAAAGAAUUCAUGAUCAUAAAAAAGAAAAUUUUGGUUCGUGGCUGUUGGCCAGCAGCAGUGGUCCUACAUUGCCACCGAGCAACAGACGGGGGCACGCCAAAUAAAAGGUGUUUAAUGUAGUCUACUCAAUGACAGAGUCAACUGAUCACUCCUGUAAUAGUCCUCAUUGGACUGGUGUUUCCUCAGUAUAUCCUUUUUCUGGUCUGUUAUUAGUUUAACCUUUCAGUGUUCUAUUGGGUGACAUCUAAAAUUUCCUCAUUCCUCGUUUUAGAGUUUCGAGCUAUUUCAUAAAUAUUUUGCUGAAUUUACACUUGGCAACUAUAUAAUGUAACAUGCCUAUACAAUAGAGCUGCCGAUACCAUUUUGUUUUUUAUUUACCUGUUUGCAUUUGUUUGUUAUACUUUGCUUGAUUUGGCAUUACUCAGGCAAAGAUAUGCCGCUCCCUGACAAAACUAGGAGGAACUUGGUAAGGCAAGUUGAUAAACCACGCUCAAUAUGCAUAUUGGCUCCUCCAUUGGUAUAUACAGAGUAUUAGGAGGCAAGAGAGUAGUAGUAGGAGAGUAUCUGUUACAGUUGCUUACCAUUCUGUGCAUAUAUUGUGUUGGCUUUCUGUUCCUCUCGUUCAUUUCAUUUGACUGCUCUCCAAACAGUCACACAUGCAGAUGGAUGUUCAUUUCAUUUGAGUGCUCUCCGUACAGUCACACAUGCAGAUGGAUGGAUAUCAAGACCAUUUUUAUUGAUCAUUGAUUAUACCGAAAUGAUAAAUAUAGAUUGAAUAUAUCUUCAUAUUUUGUGCUCUUCGUUAGGCAGCUGCAUGUUACAUUUCCAAAGGACAGAUUAAUACACGUUUGAAGGUUAUGGAUAUGAUUGGCAUGAAGCUUUCUAUGUUGAACCAAAUAAAGGUGAGCUCGAACUUUCUCAUUUUUUUAUGUAACUUCUAUGCUGACCUAAAUGAACCAUUUAUAGGUUCAUCACUGCGGUCCUUUUUAGCCUACAUACAUAGUUAAGACAUCUUUUCGUAGUUUCCAGUUGUGUGACAAGUUAUAACAUCCAGCUAUAUUGCUUUUCUGUUACAUUAUACUCAAUCAACCUGCUUUGUCCUAGGUUUGCGCUUCAGUUUACUUGCUGUUAUUGGCUAUAUUAGAUUAUCCUAACAAAUUUUAGAUGGCUGCAUGAGCUAUGGAGCAUCACGUAUCCCGUGACUCAAAGUAUGAUUUUUAGGUCUGAUGACUUCGAUAGAUUGAUUUUCCUAGCUGAUGAUGUCUGGUAGAUCAUCCUCAGGUUUGGUGAAUGUUAUUUCCUGAAGAAUUAGUGCUUGGCGAACAGCGUUUUUAUUUUUUGGUUGCUGGUGUAGGAUGCCUUGUUUGUUUAUUCCAAUAAUGGGCUUUGUGCUCAUUUGAGCAACAGUGAGAAUGGUGUUGUGUUUUUUUAUUAGGUAACUGCCUUUCCCAAUGAUUGUUUUAAUCUGUAUCAUGUUGUCAUGAAGAUUAUUAGGAUAGGGGAAAUGUCUAUAUGGAAUGGUUAAUUUCUUGCUAUCAUAGAUCUCUGGUCAACUCUAGCUAUUGGAGGCUAUCUGCAAUUCAGACCUUCAUGAGAUGAAUGCAGCUCUUCCUAGGUCUCUUGAAUGUUGCAGCUUUGUAAUGAUGAGAAGUUCCUCGGUUGUGUGUUACCAAUUCAUUCAUUUGCCAGUUCAGGUGCUCCCUACAGUACUAUGCUUCCUAUUAUUUCUGCCCUGGGCGAUAGCUGCGUCUCUUAAGAUUAGGAAUGUUUUUUCAUAUCACCAUAAUUUUUCUCUUAAGAUUAGGUAUGUUCUUUUAUAUCACCAUCAUUUUUUACAUCGUACUGCUCCCACAUCAGCUGAC